Molecule: ribosomal RNA, 497 nt
Filed under: uncultured bacterium
Lineage: Bacteria
Description: partial 16S ribosomal RNA
Rfam family: Bacterial small subunit ribosomal RNA
Source: RNAcentral
GAUGAACGCUGGCGGCGUGCCUAAUACAUGCAAGUCGAGCGAACAGACGAGGAGCUUGCUCCUCUGACGUUAGCGGCGGACGGGUGAGUAACACGUGGAUAACCUACCUAUAAGACUGGGAUAACUUCGGGAAACCGGAGCUAAUACCGGAUAAUAUAUUGAACCGCAUGGUUCAAUAGUGAAAGACGGUUUUGCUGUCACUUAUAGAUGGAUCCGCGCCGCAUUAGCUAGUUGGUAAGGUAACGGCUUACCAAGGCAACGAUGCGUAGCCGACCUGAGAGGGUGAUCGACCACACUGGAACUGAGACACGGUCCGGACUCCUACGGGAGGCAGCAGUAGGGAGUCUUCCGCAAUGGGCGAAAGCCUGACGGAGCAACGCCGCGUGAGUGAUGAAGGUCUUCGGAUCGUAAAACUCUGCUAUUAGGGAAGAACAAAUGUGUAAGUAACUAUGCACGUCUUGACGGUACCUAAUCAGAAAGCCACGGCUAACUACGUG